Molecule: ribosomal RNA, 1143 nt
Filed under: Microbacterium sp. BS-2
Lineage: Bacteria; Bacillati; Actinomycetota; Actinomycetes; Micrococcales; Microbacteriaceae
Description: bacterial SSU rRNA
Rfam family: Bacterial small subunit ribosomal RNA
Source: RNAcentral
CUUGCCGGGGGUGCUUACCAUGCAAGUCGAACGGUGAAAGCGGAGCUUGCUCUGCUGGAUCAGUGGCGAACGGGUGAGUAACACGUGAGCAAUCUGCCCUUGACUCUGGGAUAAGCGCUGGAAACGGCGUCUAAUACCGGAUACGAGCUGCGAAGGCAUCUUCAGCAGCUGGAAAGAACUUCGGUCAAGGAUGAGCUCGCGGCCUAUCAGCUUGUUGGUGAGGUAACGGCUCACCAAGGCGUCGACGGGUAGCCGGCCUGAGAGGGUGACCGGCCACACUGGGACUGAGACACGGCCCAGACUCCUACGGGAGGCAGCAGUGGGGAAUAUUGCACAAUGGGCGCAAGCCUGAUGCAGCAACGCCGCGUGAGGGACGACGGCCUUCGGGUUGUAAACCUCUUUUAGCAGGGAAGAAGCGAAAGUGACGGUACCUGCAGAAAAAGCACCGGCUAACUACGUGCCAGCAGCCGCGGUAAUACGUAGGGUGCAAGCGUUAUCCGGAAUUAUUGGGCGUAAGAGCUCGUAGGCGGUUUGUCGCGUCUGCUGUGAAAACUGGAGGCUCAACCUCCAGCCUGCAGUGGGUACGGGCAGACUAGAGUGCGGUAGGGGAGAUUGGAAUUCCUGGUGUAGCGGUGGAAUGCGCAGAUAUCAGGAGGAACACCGAUGGCGAAGGCAGAUCUCUGGGCCGUAACUGACGCUGAGGAGCGAAAGGGUGGGGAGCAAACAGGCUUAGAUACCCUGGUAGUCCACCCCGUAAACGUUGGGAACUAGUUGUGGGGUCCAUUCCACGGAUUCCGUGACGCAGCUAACGCAUUAAGUUCCCCGCCUGGGGAGUACGGCCGCAAGGCUAAAACUCAAAGGAAUUGACGGGGACCCGCACAAGCGGCGGAGCAUGCGGAUUAAUUCGAUGCAACGCGAAGAACCUUACCAAGGCUUGACAUAUACGAGAACGGGCCAGAAAUGGUCAACUCUUUGGACACUCGUAAACAGGUGGUGCAUGGUUGUCGUCAGCUCGUGUCGUGAGAUGUUGGGUUAAGUCCCGCAACGAGCGCAACCCUCGUUCUAUGUUGCCAGCACGUAAUGGUGGGAACUCAUGGAAUACUGCCGGGGUCAACUCGGAGGAAGGUGGGGAUGACAGAAAAU